GACGAACGCUGGCGGCGUGCUUAACACAUGCAAGUCGAACGGAAAGUCCCUGCUUUUUUGGGGUGCUCGAGUGGCCAACGGGUGAGUAACACGUGAGUAACCUUCCCUCGACUUUGGGAUAACUUCAAGAAACUGGUGCUAAUUCCGGAUAGGAGGUCCUGCUGCAUGGUGGGGGUUUGAAAGUUUCGGCGGUUGGGGAUGGACUCGCGGCUUAUCAGCUUGUUGGUGGGGUAUUGGCUUACCAAGGCUUUGACGCGUACCCGGCCUGAGAGGGUGACCGGCCACAUCGGAACUGGAAUAAGGCACAGACUACUCUGGGACGCAGCAGUGGAGUAGAUUGCACAAUGGGAGGAAGGCAGAUCUAGUACAGCCGCGUGGGGGAUGACGGCCAUCGGUUUGUAAUCUGCUUUCGUAUGUGCCGAAGCGUGAGUGACGGUACUGGGUAAAGAAGCACCGGCUAACUACGUG
RNAcentral lists this ribosomal RNA (468 nucleotides) under uncultured bacterium. RNAcentral describes it as "partial 16S ribosomal RNA". It matches the Rfam family "Bacterial small subunit ribosomal RNA", at positions 28 to 507 of the family's 1533-position model. The record is from RNAcentral.